CCGGCCGCUGCGGUGCCCACAGACGAUGGACAUGAGGUUUUUCAGACUAUGGG
RNAcentral lists this transfer RNA (53 nucleotides) under Oxyrrhis marina. RNAcentral's name for it is "partial tRNA". The record is from RNAcentral. Lineage: Eukaryota; Dinophyceae; Oxyrrhinales; Oxyrrhinaceae.